GACGAACGCUGGCGGCAUGCCUAACACAUGCAAGUCGAACGGAACUUGUUGAAUGAAGUUUUCGGAUGGAUUUUAGCAAGUUUAGUGGCGGACGGGUGAGUAACGCGUGAGCAACCUGCCUUUCAGAGGGGGACAACAGUUGGAAACGACUGCUAAUACCGCAUAACGUAUCGGAACCGCAUGGCUCUGAUACCAAAGAUUUUAUCGCUGAAAGAUGGGCUCGCGUACGAUUAGAUAGUUGGCGGGGUAACGGCCCGCCAAGUCGACGAUCGGUAGCCGGACUGAGAGGUUGAACGGCCACAUUGGGACUGAGACACGGCCCAGACUCCUACGGGAGGCAGCAUGGGGGAUAUUGCACAAUGGGGGAAACCCUGAUGCAGCGAUGCCGCGUGAAUGAUGACGGUCUUCGGAUUGUAAAGUUCUGUCGUUAGGGACGAUAAUGACGGUACCUAACAAGAAAGNUCCGGCUAACUACGUGCCAGCAGCCGCGGUAAAGUCGCGA
Molecule: ribosomal RNA, 502 nt
Filed under: uncultured bacterium
Lineage: Bacteria
Description: bacterial SSU rRNA
Rfam family: Bacterial small subunit ribosomal RNA
Source: RNAcentral